Molecule: ribosomal RNA, 440 nt
Filed under: uncultured bacterium
Lineage: Bacteria
Description: partial 16S ribosomal RNA
Rfam family: Bacterial small subunit ribosomal RNA
Source: RNAcentral
ACUACGGGUGGCAGCAGUGGGGGAUAUUGCACAAUGGGGGGAACCCUGAUGCAGCGACGCCGCGUGGGUGAAGAAGCGCCUCGGCGCGUAAAGCCCUGUCAGCAGGGAAGAAAAUGACGGUACCUGAAGAAGAAGCCCCGGCUAACUACGUGCCAGCAGCCGCGGUAAUACGUAGGGGGCAAGCGUUAUCCGGAUUUACUGGGUGUAAAGGGGGCGCAGACGGCGAUGCAAGCCAGGAGUGAAAGCCCGGGGCCCAACCCCGGGACUGCUCGUGGUACUGCGUGGCUGGAGUGCAGGAGGGGCAGGCGGAAGUCCUGGUGUAGCGGUGAAAUGCGUAGAUAUCAGGAGGAACACCGGUGGCGAAGGCGGCCUGCUGGACUGCAACUGACGUUGAGGCCCGAAAGCGUGGGGAGCAAACAGGAUUAGAUACCCGAGUAGUC